Molecule: ribosomal RNA, 496 nt
Filed under: uncultured bacterium
Lineage: Bacteria
Description: bacterial SSU rRNA
Rfam family: Bacterial small subunit ribosomal RNA
Source: RNAcentral
UGGCGGCGUGCCUAAUACAUGCAAGUUGAACGCAACAAAGACACCAGAGCUUGCUCUACCGUUUUUGUUGAGUAGCGAACGGGUGAGUAACGCGUGGGUAACCUGCCUUAUAGCGGGGGAUAACUAUUGGAAACGAUAGCUAAUACCGCAUAACAAUAGAGAUUGCAUAAUCUUUAUUUGAAAGUGCCAACUGGUACACUAUGAGAUGGACCCGCGUUGUAUUAGCUAGUUGGUAGUGUAAUGGACUACCAAGGCGAUGAUACAUAGCCGACCUGAGAGGGUGAUCGGCCACAUUGGGACUGAGACACGGCCCAAACUCCUACGGGAGGCAGCAGUAGGGAAUCUUCGGCAAUGGACGAAAGUCUGACCGAGCAACGCCGCGUGAGUGAAGAAGGUUUUCGGAUCGUAAAACUCUGUUGUUAGAGAAGAAUGUUGAUUAGAGUGGAAAAUUAAUCAAGUGACGGUAUCUAACCAGAAAGGGACGGCUAACUACGUG